AUGUGGGUUCUUCAUAAAUUAAGGGUUCUAACCAUCUGUCUGUGGUAUUUUCUGCAAACAUUCUUUCCAGUUGUUUGUCUUUUAAUUUUGCUUGUAUUUUUUAAUCACACCAGAAUUUUUUGUUUUUUUUGUAGCAUGGAUCUGUCAAACAUUUCCUCUGUGGUUUCUUCCACGGCUUUGAAGCUUAGAAAGCCCUUCACCAUGUACAGAGCAGUUGAGGAAGGGAGUUCCCAGCUCCCUAACUCUGCCGAAGGCCUCCUUGGAAAUACAUCCCUGGGAAUGACAUUCCCGAAUCAAAAGACCUUAAGCUGCUUCCAGCUCUUGCUCCAGUGUCACCCAUUGCUUCCAGAAGGAUGGUCCCCGUUUUCAGUGCUGGUAGACUGAGUCCACUUCAGCUUUAUCUACAAAACGUUGCACACAGAACGUCAAAUGAUCCUCCGUCAUCAAGAAAAUGGCAAGUGAUGGAGCUCGGUCACUGUUCUGGGCUGUAAUACGGUGGUGCCCGGAGGGGCGUCUGUAUCAUAAAGAACCGGUGACUCUUCUCUAAGAGGCGUGGGAUAAUAGACCCUCCGGUUAAUAGAUCCAAACUGGUUUAGAAGUUGCAUUUUCUUCCACCUCAAGGAAGGGAAGCAGAGUGAGGUGGGAAGAGCAAGUCGCUUUAUGUGCCUCAGUAUAUCCACCUGUAAAAUGGGGAUCGUAACACCAAACUCCCAGGAUGGUUGUGAAGAUUCCAAGGAUAACAGACGUAGCAUUCCCAGCACCUCACAUAGCAGGCACCCAACAAACGUUGCUUCUCUGGGCCUCUCCCUCUCCCACGGCCUCUUCUUAAUUUAGCAAGCGUCACACAUUUUACGCUCAGGCUGAAAUAUGGCCAGUGAUAUGUCCUUGGUUUCUCCUGGAGAGAGAGAAAAAAAAGGAUAAUAUUCUUUGCCUAAUUAUAAUAGUGAUACAUGGUCACCAAAUAAAAAUUUGGAAAGUGUGGGAAAGUACAAAGAAGGAAAUAAACAUCGCCCACAGUUUCACGCCCCAGAUCUGUCCCUGUGAACGUCUGGGUGUGUCUCCUCGGGGGUGUUGGGCCACUUCUUAUUCUCAGAAUUCUAAGGUGUGGCCCCGGGACCGUGUGACACCUCUGUCGAGGCACCGUCGACAUGGAGGAUUGCAGGGGUGGGGGGCAUGGGAGACAUGGGGUCCCAGCUCUGAGGGGGUCCUGGAGGCGGCCAAGGGGAGGCCCAUGGGCCUCAAGGCUCGGUCCUCACCACCUACAGAGAGCAAGACUGGGAAGCCUUGGACGACAGGCCUGGGCUUUAUUCUCCCCCUUCCCCUGCAAGGCCCUGGACAAACUCGUCCAGACUUGGGGCUCCUCCUGUCUCUGGGCCUCAGUUCCCUUAUCUAUCAAAGGAGCAGAAGGGCCAUGAAUUUCGGGACUAACAUUGUGUGGCGCCAGAGGCAUGUGUGAAGAAAGGGCUGCGAUGCUCGCAGGGCCUUACCCAGAGGACAUCCUCUUUGUGUCAUUUAUUAUUUAUUUAAAGAUUUUAUUAUUUAUUUGAGAGAGAGAGAGAGAGGGAGACACAGAACGAGCAGGGAGGAGAGGCGGAAGGAGAGGGAGAAGCAGACUCCCCACUGAGCAGAGAGCCUCCCCAAAGGAAGCCUCGAUCCCAGGACCCUGAGAUCAUGACCCGAGCCGGUGGCAGAUGCUUAACCCACUGAGCCACCCAGGCGUCCCACAUCCUCUUUAUUUCCCCGGUGUCCUCACAGCCCUCGCCUUAGAGGAGGAUGGACCUCCUACCAGCCUCGGACCGCCUUAGUACUGGGCCAACUCGAUCAGCCUCCUCAGCUGCUCUUGGAGUCCUCGAGUCGGGCAUGAAGCCCUCUGGGAGCUGUGUGAGUGUUAGAAACUGCACACGAAGAGGCCUCUGAGGCGAUACAGCGGACUUGCGGCCCCGCUGGUGGACAGCGAUUGCUCAGGUUCAAAUCCCAGCUCCACCACCACCGGCUGCGUGAGCUCAGCCAAGUUACUUAACUGCUCUGUGCCUCCCUCACCUCUAAGUUGGGAAAGAUGAUGGGAAUCAGGCGUGGAUUAAAUGGGUUCAUCGGACGUGAGAACCUUAGAACAGCGCUUGACACGCAGCAGGUGCCGGGUGAGCGGUAGGCAGUGUUGCUCUGCUGCCGAAACGCAGGGAGCCCUCGGGAGCGUGCUCUUGAGAACUGUGAACAGAUUCCAAAAGUGCAGAUGCGUUUGACGUGAAAGUGAAAGUUUCUCUUCCUCCACCUACUCUCACUCUCCAGAAGUAACCACUGUGAGUUCAGUGGGCCACCUUCCAGAUCUUUCUCUAGACAUACACAAUGAUCAUACGUAUCUAGAGUUUUCUU
Molecule: long non-coding RNA, 2370 nt
Filed under: Canis lupus familiaris (dog)
Lineage: Eukaryota; Metazoa; Chordata; Mammalia; Carnivora; Canidae
Description: lncRNA (ENSCAFG00000052505.1)
Source: RNAcentral